UUUUUGGUAUAAAAGAUGUUUGAGAAAAAUAGAGUGUGGGGAUGAGAAAAGAAUUCAUUGAUUAUAUUUUUGUGUUUGACAAGACCUUCGGUCUUAUGCCUACGUACCAACAUAAAAAUGAGGGAUCAAAACCUCGUAGUUUGAAAUCACAAGCAAAGAAAGUUUUUGAAAAAAGGGGAGAGAUUUUGAAAUUCAAGGAGUGGGAGGAGAUGAAGAGACUAAUCCUAAGCAUAAAAUUAAAAGUUAAGAGUUAAAAAGAUCUGAC
Molecule: long non-coding RNA, 265 nt
Filed under: Lathyrus oleraceus (garden pea)
Lineage: Eukaryota; Viridiplantae; Streptophyta; Magnoliopsida; Fabales; Fabaceae
Description: Pisum sativum (pea) long non-coding RNA (PSAT_LNC020776)
Source: RNAcentral